AAUGGGCGCAAGCCUGAUCCAGCCAUGCCGCGUGAGUGAUGAAGGCCCUAGGGUCGUAAAGCUCUUUCGCCAGGGAUGAUAAUGACAGUACCUGGUAAAGAAACCCCGGCUAACUCCGUGCCAGCAGCCGCGGUAAUACGGAGGGGGUUAGCGUUGUUCGGAAUUACUGGGCGUAAAGCGCGCGUAGGCGGACUAGUCAGUCAGAGGCGAAAUCCCAGGGCUCAACCCUGGAACUGCCUUUGAUACUGCUAGUCUUGAGUUCGAGAGAGGUGAGUGGAAUUCCGAGUGUAGAGGUGAAAUUCGUAGAUAUUCGGAGGAACACCAGUGGCGAAGGCGGCUCACUGGCUCGAUACUGACGCUGAGGUGCGAAAGUGUGGGGAGCAAACAGGAUU
RNAcentral lists this ribosomal RNA (392 nucleotides) under uncultured Gammaproteobacteria bacterium. RNAcentral's name for it is "bacterial SSU rRNA". It matches the Rfam family "Bacterial small subunit ribosomal RNA", at positions 370 to 779 of the family's 1533-position model. The record is from RNAcentral. Lineage: Bacteria; Pseudomonadati; Pseudomonadota; Gammaproteobacteria.